GACGAACGCUGGCGGCGUGCCUAAUACAUGCAAGUUGAGCGAUGAAGAUUGGUGCUUGCACCAAUUUGAAGAGCAGCGAACGGGCGAGUAACGCGUGGGGAAUCUGCCUUUGAGCGGGGGACAACAUUUGGAAACGAAUGCUAAUACCGCAUAAUAACUUUAAACAUAAGUUUUAAGUUUGAAAGAUGCAAUUGCAUCACUCAAAGAUGAUCCCGCGUUGUAUUAGCUAGUUGGUGAGGUAAAGGCUCACCAAGGCGAUGAUACAUAGCCGACCUGAGAGGGUGAUCGGCCACAUUGGGACUGAGACACGGCCCAAACUCCUACGGGAGGCAGCAGUAGGGAAUCUUCGGCAAUGGACGAAAGUCUGACCGAGCAACGCCGCGUGAGUGAAGAAGGUUUUCGGAUCGUAAAACUCUGUUGGUAGAGAAGAACGUUGGUGAGAGUGGAAAGCUCAUCAAGUGACGGUAACUACCCAGAAAGGGACGGCUAACUACGUG
This 497-nucleotide ribosomal RNA is filed under the name uncultured bacterium. RNAcentral describes it as "partial 16S ribosomal RNA". It matches the Rfam family "Bacterial small subunit ribosomal RNA", at positions 28 to 507 of the family's 1533-position model. The record is from RNAcentral.